Molecule: transfer RNA, 75 nt
Filed under: Planctomycetaceae bacterium
Lineage: Bacteria; Pseudomonadati; Planctomycetota; Planctomycetia; Planctomycetales; Planctomycetaceae
Description: tRNA-Asn
Rfam family: tRNA
About the family: Transfer RNA (tRNA) molecules are approximately 80 nucleotides in length.
Source: RNAcentral
UCCGCGGUAGCUCAAUGGUAGAGCAUCCGGCUGUUAACCGGCAGGUUGUAGGUUCGAGUCCUACCCGCGGAGCCA